AAAUUAUAUAAUUGAUCUGCAUUUGGGGGGUUGGGGUAAAAGGGGUCCGGAUCUCGAAAUCCCGGGCUUAAAAACACGAAGUCACAAGGUCCCGAAUUUAAAUAAAUUUAAAUCCCGACAUCGCGAAAAAAGAAUUCCCAGAUCCCGAAAGGGUUAAUCCCGAAAUCCCGAACUUAUUUGCAUAAUAUUAAUUUACGCACA
This 201-nucleotide long non-coding RNA is filed under the name Mytilus galloprovincialis (Mediterranean mussel). Lineage: Eukaryota; Metazoa; Mollusca; Bivalvia; Mytilida; Mytilidae. The record is from RNAcentral.